UGUACUUUGACCCUAUGAGGACAGACAACCGGAUAAGCACGUGGGUUCGUAGCAGCAAGAGUCCAUAAACACUCUUCGUAGCAGGUGUGCAAAGAAAUUAUGUUCACAACGAACUGUUACUUGCAAACAACCACUGAGUCUGUGUUUUGGCUCCCCACUCUGUCGUCGUUGUGAGUUGCAAUACCAGGCAGUGAUGAUGCGUGCUGUUUGCCUGCCUCGGGCUUGCAGUGGCUACAGGGUGAGGGGCUCGCAGCCACCAUGAUGCCAAAGAGCCACGCUCCCUUGCCCGUGACAGAGUGAGCAGAAACAAUAUCACUUCGUUCCGACUUCGUGCAGCAAGGCGGCAGAUGAAGUGGAUUGGCUGGCUGGCAGCUGUGUCAAUCGGUUCCGUGGUCGAAGUCAGCUCGUGACCGAAACACUGCACAAAAGAGUACAUAACCCCCCUCUUGCUGCACAACAUGAGGACUACUCUACAAGUUCUCGCUUGUUGAUCAGUACGGUAUGUGUCUGACAGUGUGUAUUGAAAGUUCAAACUUUGAAAGUCUCCAUACGCGUAGCUCCACAGCUCCUAGUUUCUCUAUGUUUGGAAUUGGAGGAGAGCGAGGUAGUCGCUGUCACAUCAGCUGUGCAUGUGCUGUCCAGUUUGCUAGUAUUCAGUAGCAGUGUGUCCGUGGAUAUCUGGCCUUUUUUCAACGUGAAACAAGGACAGGGUCAAGCAGACUAUCGUAACGACGUACCCCUGCCAGUACCCAGUAGUGAACGUCGAGUACUAGUAUGUCUGUGGCGGAUUCGACUCACUCAUUAGAGGAAGGUCCUCACACACCAGAAGUCGAUGUACUUCAAUCGGACCAAGCCAGUCUGCAGCUUGACAGUGCGUUGGCCUCAGAUGAAAAUGAAGACGCUGGGGUCGCUUCUGCAACAAGCGGUCGUUCCGCAACCAACUGCCAGCAUGGAGCCGCAACUGUCCACAUGAACGCAUGCCGCCAAUCUCGUCAUCGUCGCACUAACACAUGUAUAAGUCGGAGAAGACGGCAGAAAGCAGACCAUUUCUACGCGCCCAGAAUAUGUGGUGUUGUGGCUGUGGCGAUGUUUGCCGUCGGCCUGAUCCUAAUCAUUCAUAGCAGCAGACAACUGAAUAAAACACACAGCAGCAGCAGGAGCCAGUCUGGCAAUCGUUUGGUGUUAGUUGGCGCCGGAGCUGUGCUUAUCUUUCUCUCACUGGCCAUGAUUGUGCUGCUUAUCUGUAUGAUGUUUCUACGACGAAAUGCCUUGAAGACCGGACAAAUCAGACCAAGAAGUAACUAUGCCGUUGCUGAAGGCAAUGUCCAAGCUGACGAACCUAAACAGGUCAACGCUCACCAGCCACAUUGCCAUGCCGAGUCCAUCCUGAACAGUGAGGCACCACCGCGGUACAUGGACGCAGCGCGGGCCUCUUCGGCGAACGAUGCUGACUGCUCACUGUCGUCUGUAUCUCAGCAGCCAGUCUGUGAUCAUCAUCGCUACAGCAUUGACAGCACUUGCAGCAGUGUGGUUGAUCUGAGUGUUCAUACCUAUGCAUUGCAGUGCUCAAGCUGUCCGCCGCCACCCAGAUACGAUGAAAUACUAGAGUAGUAGAGACGACAUAAGCUCUUCACAGUGCGUCACUGGAUUGCUGCCAGAACCGUGUCAUGCCAAUCUACAUGUACAUGCACUGUGGGCAUACGAUGUAGCUAUCAUCACUACAUCUACUGCCACCAGCAUUGUCACGGUAAGCUGGUUACUAAAAUGAAACACCUAUAGUAACAUUAACCCAUAGAGUGAUUUUCUACUAGUAGCAAUUAUAUUUUUAAACAUAUUUCCACUUCAAGCAGCAGUUACAAUUCAUUGGUGUUAUGGAAGAUUUAUUCUCCUACUACUUCGAAGUACCCUCACUUUUUCCCCAGCAUGCAUAGGUUAUUUUUUUAGCGGUUUCCAUUAUUUAUAACGGUCAUGUAUGCCAGCACGCUGCUGCUUUUGGCUGAAUUUGUGUUUGAUUUAGGAAACUCCUGGCCCGGUGUUUCUAAUGAUUGUUUCGUCAGCUGAAGAUUCUCUCAGAACUUGAUAUGACUUGCAUUUUCGUACAGCUCGUCUAUCAAAGCCUUGUAUUUCUACUUGUAUUCGUAACGUAUAAGGAAUCCACAUUACUGAUUUCUAGAGAUUUGCAAGUUAUUUAUCUAGCCUCCGGAUGAUCCCCUUUCACUCGGGCGAUGAUCCGACACAGAUUUUGUGAACGGCCUACAUCAUCAGACCGUCUUGCCCGGCGCUCAGCCUAUAAUAUCACGACUUUCUCCCGUA
Molecule: long non-coding RNA, 2313 nt
Organism: Sycon ciliatum
Lineage: Eukaryota; Metazoa; Porifera; Calcarea; Leucosolenida; Sycettidae
Exons: 2
Source: RefSeq, a predicted model, not a curated record